GUGUCAGCAGCCGCGGUAAGACGGACCACACGAACGUUAUUCGGAAUUACUGGGCUUAAAGGGUGCGUAGGCUGUGCAGAAAGUUGGGUGUGAAAUCCCUCGGCUUAACCGAGGAACUGCGCCCAAAACUACUGUGCUUGAGAAAGAUAGAGGUAAGCGGAACUUAGGGUGGAGCGGUGAAAUGCGUUGAUAUCCUAAGGAACACCGGUGGCGAAGGCGGCUUACUGGGUCUUUUCUGACGCUGAGGCACGAAAGCUAGGGUAGCGAACGGGAUUAGAUACCCCCGUAGUCC
This 292-nucleotide ribosomal RNA is filed under the name uncultured bacterium. RNAcentral describes it as "partial 16S ribosomal RNA". It matches the Rfam family "Bacterial small subunit ribosomal RNA", at positions 505 to 796 of the family's 1533-position model. The record is from RNAcentral.